RNAcentral lists this ribosomal RNA (465 nucleotides) under Vreelandella stevensii. RNAcentral describes it as "partial 16S ribosomal RNA". It matches the Rfam family "Bacterial small subunit ribosomal RNA", at positions 338 to 795 of the family's 1533-position model. Lineage: Bacteria; Pseudomonadati; Pseudomonadota; Gammaproteobacteria; Oceanospirillales; Halomonadaceae. The record is from RNAcentral.
CCUACGGGAGGCUGCAGUGGGGAAUAUUGGACAAUGGGGGCAACCCUGAUCCAGCCAUGCCGCGUGUGUGAAGAAGGCCCUCGGGUUGUAAAGCACUUUCAGUGAGGAAGAACGCCUGGUGGUUAAUACCCAUCAGGAAAGACAUCACUCACAGAAGAAGCACCGGCUAACUCCGUGCCAGCAGCCGCGGUAAUACGGAGGGUGCGAGCGUUAAUCGGAAUUACUGGGCGUAAAGCGCGCGUAGGUGGCUUGAUAAGCCGGUUGUGAAAGCCCCGGGCUCAACCUGGGAACGGCAUCCGGAACUGUCAAGCUAGAGUGCAGGAGAGGAAGGUAGAAUUCCCGGUGUAGCGGUGAAAUGCGGAGAGAUCGGGAGGAAUACCAGUGGCGAAGGCGGCCUUCUGGACUGACACUGACACUGAGGUGCGAAAGCGUGGGUAGCAAACAGGAUUAGAUACCCUGGUAGUC